UCCUACGGGAGGCAGCAGUGAGGAAUAUUGGUCAAUGGCCGGAAGGCUGAACCAGCCAAGCCGCGUGAAGGACGAAGGUGCCAAGCAUUGUAAACUUCUUUUGUCAAGGGACAAAAUCAGGCUCGAGAGCCUGACCGAGGGUACUUGAAGAAAAAGCAUCGGCUAACUCCGUGCCAGCAGCCGCGGUAAUACGGAGGAUGCGAGCGUUAUCCGGAUUUAUUGGGUUUAAAGGGAGCGUAGGCCGGUCUUUAAGCGUGUCGUGAAAUUUUGUGGCUCAACCAUGGGAGUGCGGCGCGAACUGGAGA
Molecule: ribosomal RNA, 305 nt
Filed under: uncultured bacterium
Lineage: Bacteria
Description: bacterial SSU rRNA
Rfam family: Bacterial small subunit ribosomal RNA
Source: RNAcentral